This 977-nucleotide long non-coding RNA is filed under the name Capsella rubella. RNAcentral's name for it is "long non-coding RNA (CRUB_LNC000133)". The record is from RNAcentral. Lineage: Eukaryota; Viridiplantae; Streptophyta; Magnoliopsida; Brassicales; Brassicaceae.
UGAUUUUGAACAGCUAAAAAUAAAAAAAUUAAUUAAAAUAACAAAAUACAAUUUUCUCUUUUUUUUUUUUGGUUUUAAAGAUUUAAAUGGAAAUAACACAAAUACUAGAAAUAAAUAACUUUUCUGGUUUUUUGUCUCUUUAAAUAAAUAGCAAAUAUUUUUGUUUUUUUUUUUUUUUUUCUAAAGAUAAGGAAGCAAUCAAACAAGAAUAAAGCAAGAAACAAAUUUUUAUUUUGGUUUUCGACUUUAUAAGAACUAAAACAACAAAACAGAAAAAGAUAAAGGUUGGAAUGACACAACCUGUUGGGUAGGAGCUUUUGAAGCUCUGAUACCAGAUGAUACACGCUCCGAAGGGCUAACGGACGGGCAGAAAGGGUUUAUCGAGUUGGCCUUCGCUCUCUCUCGAUGGAACCACGAACAAAGAAGAAUCGAUCGAUGGAUCGAUGGAUAGACGUGAUUGACUCGCUCAAUCAAUGGACGAACAAGAGGGAUGAAUCACUCAACACCACCCCUUAAUUCACAGCUUCAAUAGACUAUAGUGAAUCACACACUUAAAUCUAAAGAACAAACAAACACAAAGUUACUCGAUCUUUAUAAAGAAGAAAACACUUUCUUUUAAUUUCAAUGAUCAAGGGUACUUUACAAUGAAUCAUGAGCUGAGCUUUUAUAGUCUCAAUAUACAACGUUCCUAGAGUCUAAAACAAGAAAACAAAUCGCAAAAAUAUAAAGAAUAUAGCCGUUGGAGCUUUGAUGACAAAAUCGGCCAAAAUAAGGAAAGUGUCUUCUCUUGUAUCUUGAAAGCUUGGGGAGGAAUGUGUGACGUCUUGGAACAUUCUGGGAUGUUUUUAGAGUCUUUAAAACGCAGCAGCUUUGGUAGAAAUAGAGCCGUUGAUGUCUAAACCCUCCUAGUGUGAAUGCGCCUAGAAAUGGAAAGUUGGAGUGGAAGAGGAUUCGCCUAAUCCUCUGGAUGCUGGUGC